Molecule: ribosomal RNA, 430 nt
Filed under: Fusobacteriota bacterium
Lineage: Bacteria; Fusobacteriati; Fusobacteriota
Description: Fusobacteria bacterium partial 16S ribosomal RNA
Rfam family: Bacterial small subunit ribosomal RNA
Source: RNAcentral
UAGGGAAUCUUCGGCAAUGGACGAAAGUCUGACCGAGCAACGCCGCGUGAGUGAAGAAGGUUUUCGGAUCGUAAAACUCUGUUGUUAGAGAAGAACAAGGAUGAGAGUAGAAUGUUCAUCCCUUGACGGUAUCUAACCAGAAAGCCACGGCUAACUACGUGCCAGCAGCCGCGGUAAUACGUAGGUGGCAAGCGUUGUCCGGAUUUAUUGGGCGUAAAGCGAGCGCAGGCGGUUUCUUAAGUCUGAUGUGAAAGCCCCCGGCUCAAACGGGGAGGGUCAUUGGAAACUGGGAAAAUUGAGUGCAGAAGAGGAGAGUGGAAUUCCAUGUGUAGCGGUGAAAUGCGUAGAUAUAUGGAGGAACACCAGUGGCGAAGGCGGCUCUCUGGUCUGUAACUGACGCUGAGGCGCGAAAGCGUGGGGAGAAAACAGG